AAAGAAUUUAGUGGGAAAGCCCAAACAUUUAUGGGAAAUGUCUCAAUUUAUUUUAACCCAAUUAGUGAUGAUGGGCAUGGGGGUCAUUUAAUAAAGAAAUUUAAUGAAAACAAUUAAUUAAACCAUCAUGUGGCAAUUUAAAGGCCAAGUGGCCGAAUAUUGCAAGAAAAAAAAAAUCGGCAAGAUAGAAAAGAAGAGAGAGGAGGAGCCGAGAGAAAGGGAGAGAACGGGAGAAGAAGAAGAGAGGGGCAGCCCCCUUGUGGAAGAUAAGGAGAAGGAAGAUCUCCAUGGAUGGAAGAAAUAGA
RNAcentral lists this long non-coding RNA (305 nucleotides) under Panax ginseng (ginseng). RNAcentral describes it as "long non-coding RNA (PGIN_LNC006476)". The record is from RNAcentral. Lineage: Eukaryota; Viridiplantae; Streptophyta; Magnoliopsida; Apiales; Araliaceae.